UCCCUCAUGGUCCAAUGGCUAAGACUCUGAGCUCCCAAUGCAGAGGGCCAGGGUUAGAUCCCCAGUGAGGGAA
This 73-nucleotide transfer RNA is filed under the name Bos taurus (domestic cattle). It matches the Rfam family "tRNA". Rfam says of the family: Transfer RNA (tRNA) molecules are approximately 80 nucleotides in length. Their secondary structure includes four short double-helical elements and three loops (D, anti-codon, and T loops). RNAcentral also lists the same sequence under 5 other names. Lineage: Eukaryota; Metazoa; Chordata; Mammalia; Artiodactyla; Bovidae. The record is from Rfam by way of RNAcentral.